AGCCUCUAUAAGCAUAUGCAAAAGUUGCUGCGUUUGAAAAGCUCAUAGUUGGGUCCGUUCUAGGAUGAAGUUCUUCUACCAUUGGCAUCGACCAUGGUAGGCCUACAUACCUAGCGUCUUUUUGUUGACGGUAUUUGCACUUAAUUGUGUCGAAUGCUCGAGACAGAAAAUUUACCUUGAGUAAAUUGGAGUGUUCAAAGCGAUCGUGAGUUUGAACAAUAAAGCAUGGAAUAAUGGAGGACGACCCGCACACUGCAAGCUGGUGAGCUGGUGAUGCGGUAAUGAUUAAAAGGAACAGUCGGGGGCAUUCGUAUUGCUACGUUAGAGGUGAAAUUCUUGGAUCGUGGCAAGACGAACUACUGCGAAAGCAUUUGCCAAGAAUGUUUUCAUUAAUCAAGAA
RNAcentral lists this ribosomal RNA (400 nucleotides) under phytoplankton environmental sample. RNAcentral describes it as "partial small subunit ribosomal RNA". It matches the Rfam family "Eukaryotic small subunit ribosomal RNA", at positions 587 to 983 of the family's 1831-position model. The record is from RNAcentral.